This 2344-nucleotide long non-coding RNA is filed under the name Ananas comosus (pineapple). RNAcentral's name for it is "long non-coding RNA (ACOM_LNC007330)". Lineage: Eukaryota; Viridiplantae; Streptophyta; Magnoliopsida; Poales; Bromeliaceae. The record is from RNAcentral.
GAUCCUUAAUCUGUUAGAGAACCCCAAUAUCUUAUUUAUAGACUUUAGAAUCAAUUGGAGUCGGAUUAGAAAGUUUUCACGAUUUUAUACUGUGUACCGGUACAUGAAAGGCUGUCACCGGUUACACAAUGACGGAACAAAUUUGCGAAGCCAAAGUUGAUGGCUGUACCGGUACGGGGGCAAUUGCUGUACCGGUACACAGUGCAAUUUUCAGACAUUGCACUGUUUCGAGUUCCGCAGAGUUCCGAAGUACUUUCUAAUCAACUAAACAUUGAUAAUAAUGAUUCUAAUGCCUAUACCUAAGUAUGAAUCACCAUAAAAUGAAGUAAAGACUUUACCUUAGCAUCGUGAUUCAUGUCGUGAGUUAUUUCCGCCUUCUCCGAAGUCUUGGAUUCUUCGUUCUUCGACGAUAUGCUCCAAAACCUUCAAGACUCCGACUCAAUUCACGAAAUUUGCCAACACACAAGACUUAACACAACAAAGUUCCCAGUGGGUUCGGCCCCAACAUCACCGACUUUCCCACUAAGACAAACUCAAGCAUAAUAGAAAGGAUAAGCAGAAUAGUAACCCAACUAUAAUCAUAAUGCUAAUAUGCCUGAACAAUAAAGCAAGGAAUAUGCUCAAUGUAAAUCAUGCAAGUAUGCAAGUUUUUUUGUUCUUUACACUUUGUUCUUUAAGCUUUGUUCUUUGUUCUUUAAUCUCACGGCUAACCCGGGGGUUUCGCCAUAUUAACUUGCUCACAUUAAGUCCAUCGCGGGCCCUGAGCUGCCUCCCGCUAAGACCGUCCUCGGGUUUACUCCAACCCGUGAUGCAAAACUCCGGAGCGCAUCGCUCGAGGGGGAGCGACCGCCCUUGAGCACGGAACUCAUAGCAAGUUUGAUCGAUCCUUAACUCUAAGGAUAUAUAGUUCAAUCAUUGUCUUUACACUAACUUUAGUGUUCUUUACAUCACUUCAUUUUGCUAACUCUAGCAAUCAUUGUUCUUUAACUUUACUCAUUUUUUAUACCACUUUACAUUAUCUCUAUUCUUUGUUCUCAAAUGCCACACUUUACGUUAACUUUAGCCAUUGUCAUUGUCCUUUACAUCGCAUGGAUUAUUUGCCCCACACUAACUCUAGUGUCACAUUACUUUACACUAUCGAAUGCCACUCGAUCUAUGUCUCAUUGUGUCACUUUGUUCUUUUGCCUCACUUGGGUACUCACAUUUUAUCUCAUACAUACAUAUAGGGUUAAACAUUCAUAGGGGUUCUCAACCAUCUCAUUAGGCAAAUUGUACUCACAACAUGCAACAUUACAUUAUUCUCAUUACAUAUACCCUACGAUGCAUGCAACAAUGUAUAUAACAUAUGCUCAAUUGAAUGACACAUUAGGCAUAGAAGGAAGUUCAACGAGUUUGGAUAGCACCACCCACCUUGUUGGUUCUCAAAGGUGCUCCGAUGAUUUUUCUUGGGAUUUUUAGACACCCGGUUCGCUACCUGCGAGUUAACGAAGCCAAAUUAGGCUUAUUUGGUCAUAACUUUGUAUAGGCUUUUCGUUUGCUCCAACCAACCGCACCAACGCGUCGGAAAUACCCCCAAUUAGGUUUCUAGAGGGUCAAUUGCACUUUAGAAACAUCACGAGCAAAAGCCCCAAUUUGGGUGCCCUAGCUCUAUAGCAUAUAUCAAACCUAGGGUUUGAUUUCAUUGGGGAGCAAAAGAAGCUUCAAUCUACCCUAAGAACUCCAUAAAAACCAUCCUUGGCUUAAUCCAAACUCUAGUUUGGAUUCUGCCAUGAGAGGGAUUGAAGCUCUCCUUCAAGCUUCACCACCUCCACCCAAUCCAUGGUUUGAUCUCUAAAGGAAGCAAAAGAAAGCUUCAAAUACUCUAAGGGUUCUAAAAAAACCACUCUUAGCUUAAUCCAAACCCUAGUUUGGGUUCUACCAUGAUUAAGGUUCAAGCUUACCUCUAAGCUUGCUCCAAAGGGGAAGAAGGGGAGAUAGCUUCACUCCUUAGCUUCUUCUUCACCUUCUUUCUCCUUUUCUUCUUCUUCUUCUUUUCCUUCCUUUUCUUUGUCUUCUUCUUCUCCUUCUUGUCUUCUAGAGAGAGAAAGAGAGAAGAGAGGGAGUGUGAGGGAGAGAAUGAGAGAAAUAUCCCAAAACCCCUCACAAUAUAACCUAUAUAUUGCACUUUUGCAAAUAAACCCCUCAGCUUUCACCUUAUUGAACUGCCCAAACUGGGCAGAUUUCGGGCUCGGGGACCGGUCUCCCCGACUUGGGACAGGUCCCAGAGAGCUCUCCCACAGCUCAGCAGGGGCCUUCGCACGAGGCAACCGGUCUCUCCCAGGGAGACCGGUCUCUCGGGGACCGG